Non-coding RNA from Cyclopterus lumpus (lumpfish), 384 nucleotides. NCBI's taxonomy places the organism in Eukaryota, Metazoa, Chordata, Actinopteri, Perciformes, Cyclopteridae. The record is from the annotation of a RefSeq genome assembly.
AUGACUCUGAUCUCCGUCCUCAUCUGGACUCUCCUCUGCUGCUGCUUCACAGAGUCCAGAGGACAGGUCACAGUGACUCAGCCUGGAGCAGUGAGCUCUGCUGUGGGAGGCUCCGUCUCCCUCUCCUGUCGGACCAGUCAGGAUGUUUAUUACAAUGGCAUAUACCACAGUUUAGCCUGGUACCAACAGAGAGAUGGAGGAACUCCUAAACUGAUCAUUUACUAUGCUGACAGUCUACAAUCAGGGAUUCCAGCUCGUUUUACAGGCAGUGGAUCAAAGUCUGACUUCACUCUGACCAUCAGUGGAGUCCAGGCUGAAGAUGCAGCAGUUUACUACUGUCAGAGUCGUCAUGUGAUCAACAGUCAGCGUGUGUUCACACAGUGA